AAAAAAUUAGUGCCAUUUUUCUUAAACUUAAGUGUUGAUAGUUAUCAGGAAUUUCUUCUGACACAAGACUGCAGUUCCUGGGCUUGUUCUAUUUUUGUAAGUGUGUGAUGUUCUUUUAUGAAAGUUACUGCAGAGCUGAUUUUUACAGCACUAUUUAUUGCAUUUGUGGAAACUGGGGAGCAGAGUUAGUGAAGCAGAUUGUCAGUGCUGUUCUGGGUAUAACUAAGUACAGAAUUCCAAAAUUACAGUAUUUUGAUGAUAUAAGUUUAAUAACCAGAACAAUAGCAAACUUUGAGGAAUCAGCAUAAGACUAGAGUACAAAAAGAAGCAAUCAAAAAUGUGUUUAAUGAAUUUGACUGAAGAGAAAAAGAAAGUAAAACAAAUCUUUUCCCUACGUGAGAAACAAGUGGCUGUUUCCAAUGGCACAGCUCUCCAAGCCAGAUAUCUAUAUGCUGAUCAAGGUCCAUGAAACAGUGGUGCUGAUGUGGAUUCCUGAGGCUCUGAGACAGGACAACCAGUUGCACAGGAGUCUGGCAUUCAUUUUAUCUGCUAGAUUUACAGACAACAUUGAAAAAUGUUUUAUAAAAUGGGUUUUGUUAUGGCCUGAAGAUGCAGCUUAUCACAGGUCCACAAAGACUGCCAUGUUCAAGGAGAUGAGCAGUUUUCACUACAUAUCACUUCUGAAAGUGGUCAGCACCAUGUCCUGUCUUGGGAGACACAGCAACAGCACCUACCACGUUUCGCAAGUAAAUCUCAGGGCACCUCUACUUAGAGAUAGGAAAAACAGAGGACGGGGAGCUGAAGUGACAUUUGGGACAUCACCCAGCAGCCAAGACAGACAAUCCAGAUCUUUGGAACAUUUCAGUGCUGGAAGGACACUUCACGAAGCUUUCUUCCAGUAUUCACUGAAAGGUUUGCUGUAG
RNAcentral lists this long non-coding RNA (923 nucleotides) under Corvus moneduloides (New Caledonian crow). RNAcentral describes it as "lncRNA (ENSCMUG00000017212.1)". The record is from RNAcentral. Lineage: Eukaryota; Metazoa; Chordata; Aves; Passeriformes; Corvidae.